GACGAACGCUGGCGGCGUGCCUAACACAUGCAAGUCGAGCGGAGAAACAAAAGAGCAGCUUGCUGCGAUUUGUUUCUUAGCGGCGGACGGGUGAGUAACGCGUGGGUAAUCUGCCUCAAACAGGGGGAUAACACAGGGAAACUUGUGCUAAUACCGCAUAAGACCCCACCAUGGCAUCAUGGAGAGGUCAAAGGAAGAAAUUCCGGUUUGAGAUGAGCCCGCGUCUGAUUAGCUAGUUGGUGAGGUAACGGCUCACCAAGGCGACGAUCAGUAGCCGAACUGAGAGGUUGAUCGGCCACAUUGGGACUGAGACACGGCCCAGACUCCUACGGGAGGCAGCAGUGGGGAAUAUUGCACAAUGGGGGAAACCCUGAUGCAGCGACGCCGCGUGAAGGAAGAAGGCCCUCGGGUUGUAAACUUCUUUGACCAGGGACGAAGAAAGUGACGGUACCUGGAGAACAAGCCACGGCUAACUACGUGCCAGCAGCCGCGGUAAAACCACGACCG
RNAcentral lists this ribosomal RNA (507 nucleotides) under uncultured bacterium. Its description in RNAcentral is "bacterial SSU rRNA". It matches the Rfam family "Bacterial small subunit ribosomal RNA", at positions 28 to 534 of the family's 1533-position model. The record is from RNAcentral.